UACAGAGGUCCCGAGCGUUGUUCGGAUUUAUUGGGCGCAAAGGGCGCGUAGGCGGCGGGGUAAGUUGGGUGUGAAAUCCCGGGGCUUAACCUCGGAAUGGCAUUCAAUACUGCUUCGCUCGAGUACUGGAGAGGAGGCUGGAAUUUACGGUGUAGCAGUGAAAUGCGUAGAUAUCGUGAGGAAGGCCGGUGGCGAAAGCGAGCCUCUGGACAGUUACUGACGCUGAUGCACGAAGGCCAGGGGAGCAAACGGG
Molecule: ribosomal RNA, 253 nt
Filed under: uncultured bacterium
Lineage: Bacteria
Description: partial 16S ribosomal RNA
Rfam family: Bacterial small subunit ribosomal RNA
Source: RNAcentral